AAUGAACGCUGGCGGCAUGCCCUUACACAUGCCAAGUCGAACGGCAGCAUGACCUAGCCUUGCUUAGUUUAUGGCGAGUGGCAACGGGUGAGUAAUGCAUCCGAAACGUCCCUUUUAGUGGGGGAUAACGUAGCGAAAGUUACGCUUAAUACGCAUAUUCUCUGAGGAGGAAAGCAGGGGACCUUUCGGGCCCUUUGCGCUUAGAAGAGCGCCCGAUGUCCGGAUUUAGCUAGUUUGGUGAGUUAAAGGCCUCACCAAGGCAACGAUCCCGUAGCGGGUUCUUGAGAGGAUGACCGCCCACACUGGGACUUGAGACCACGGCCCCAGACUUCCUACGGGGAGGCAGCAGUUGGGAAAUUUUGGACAAUUGGGCGCAAGCCCUGAUCCCAGCCAUGCCGCGUGAGUGAAGAAGGCCUUUCGGGUUGUAAAGCUCUUUUCGGCUGGGAAGAAAUCGCACUCUCUAAUAACAGGGUGUGGAUGACGGUACCAGCAUAAGAAGCACCGCUAACUAC
RNAcentral lists this ribosomal RNA (512 nucleotides) under Rhodocyclus sp. oral taxon 028. RNAcentral describes it as "bacterial SSU rRNA". It matches the Rfam family "Bacterial small subunit ribosomal RNA", at positions 29 to 504 of the family's 1533-position model. Lineage: Bacteria; Pseudomonadati; Pseudomonadota; Betaproteobacteria; Rhodocyclales; Rhodocyclaceae. The record is from RNAcentral.